RNAcentral lists this ribosomal RNA (376 nucleotides) under uncultured bacterium. Its description in RNAcentral is "bacterial SSU rRNA". It matches the Rfam family "Bacterial small subunit ribosomal RNA", at positions 335 to 704 of the family's 1533-position model. The record is from RNAcentral.
ACUCCUACGGGAGGCAGCAGUGGGGAAUAUUGCACAAUGGGGGAAACCCUGAUGCAGCCAUGCCGCGUGUGUGAAGAAGGCCUUCGGUUGUAAAGCACUUUCAGUAGGGAGGAAGGUAGUGUAGUUAACACCUGCAUUAUUUGUACGUUACCUACAGAAGAAGCACCGGCUAACUCCGUGCCAGCAGCCGCGGUAAUACGGAGGGUGCGAGCGUUAAUCGGAAUUACUGGGCGUAAAGCGCAUGCAGGCGGCCUGUUAAGUCAGAUGUGAAAGCCCGGGGCUUAACCUCGGAAUUGCAUUUGAAACUGGCAGGCUAGAGUCUUGUAGAGGGGUUAGAAUUUCAGGUGUAGCGGUGAAAUGCGUAGAGAUCUGAAGG